UCAUCAGGUAGGAAAAUCCUUGCCCACUCCUUCUUUUGAUGUUGACUGAAGUUUGCAAGACACAUGAUUAACAUCUCUGUGUUAUCAGGAUAUAGGAUGUGUUAGCAAUGCCCUAAUGGCUCAGCCUUUUGAA
RNAcentral lists this small nucleolar RNA (133 nucleotides) under Cavia porcellus (domestic guinea pig). RNAcentral describes it as "U8 small nucleolar RNA (ENSCPOG00000029041.2)". It matches the Rfam family "U8 small nucleolar RNA". Rfam says of the family: U8 is a member of the C/D class of snoRNA which contain the C (UGAUGA) and D (CUGA) box motifs. The record is from Rfam by way of RNAcentral. Lineage: Eukaryota; Metazoa; Chordata; Mammalia; Rodentia; Caviidae.